ACAGCAGCGCCGCGGGAAUACGGAGGGAGCUAGCGUUGUUCGGAAUUACUGGGCGUAAAGCGCACGUAGGCGGCUUUGUAAGUUAGAGGUGAAAGCCUGGAGCUCAACUCCAGAAUUGCCUUUAAGACUGCAUCGCUUGAAUCCGGGAGAGGUGAGUGGAAUUCCGAGUGUAGAGGUGAAAUUCGUAGAUAUUCGGAAGAACACCAGUGGCGAAGGCGGCUCACUGGACCGGCAUUGACGCUGAGGUGCGAAAGCGUGGGGAGCAAACAGGAUUAGAUACCCCUGUAGUCCCUGUCUCUUAUACA
Molecule: ribosomal RNA, 305 nt
Filed under: uncultured bacterium
Lineage: Bacteria
Description: partial 16S ribosomal RNA
Rfam family: Bacterial small subunit ribosomal RNA
Source: RNAcentral